Phalacrocorax carbo (great cormorant) is the source of this 1266-nucleotide non-coding RNA. NCBI's taxonomy places the organism in Eukaryota, Metazoa, Chordata, Aves, Suliformes, Phalacrocoracidae. The record is from RefSeq and is a predicted model, not a curated record.
GGGCGGGCCUCCGCGGAGGGGCGUGGCCGGGCCGGGCACGGGCUCGGCGGGGCCGCCGCCGGGCGCCUUGUCCCCGGGGCCGGGCGGGGGCGGGGAGCCCGGAGCCCUUUCCCCACAUCGCCCGUGGGCGGUCGCCGCUGCGGCUCGGCGGCUCUGGGCGCGGCGGGGAGCGGUCCCUACCUACCCCGCCCGCCUGGCCGCCCCGCACCUCCUGCCGGCUGUGCCGGUUUCGGUGCCACGGGCGGGCCCCAGGCUAGAGAGGGAGUUAGACACUUUAAAGACGUCAUUAAAAUCCCCCAGGAAAAAAUCUUCUUUACGCUUUUAAAAUUUAUUCUGAGCAAGAAAUUUUUGAUCACUAAUAUGAAGAAAAGUUAGUGUAAAACCUGAAAAUGGGUUGAGUAAAGUUGAAACCGUUCAGCUGGGAGGCAGCAGGAAUGAUCUGCAGGUGGGGCUCUGGUCUUCCACCUGCGAGUGACCUUUAUAUCAAAAUGUGUUGUGCUUUAAUGCUUGAGAAGGUAUCCGAGAUUCCAUUGGUGGAGUUUUCAGGGACGUGGUGGGAAAAUACUAAGUAGUUGGGCCUGUUUCAAACCUGAGCUUAAUUCUCUUUGGAAAUGAGGCGCGCCAAGAAGGAAAGAAAACGACAAAGGCACUGCCUUUGCCUUUGUUAAGGCACUGACUUGGCUUCAAUUUUGAUCUCGCAUUGACAGCAUGGCUGACUAAGCCAGGUUUAUUAACCUGAAAAUAGGAAGGAAAAGAGAGGAUAUGGAGAGGAGGGAGUGUUUCAUCACUAAUACAAGCACCACAUUCCAAGCUGGAUUGACAAUAGCUGCUGAUUAGCGGCUUUUCCUGUAUUUGUUUGUGGAAGACUCUACAUAUUUAAAAGACUGAUCUGCAAAGGACUUGAGUUUGCUUCUAGUUCUUCAAGAACCGUAUCUUCCUCAUUAGGCAAAUAAUAAUCAGAAGACUGGGUGUGUGUAUUUUUUUUUAAACUGCAGUGUAGUGCAGAACAACAAAAAUGCCUUAAGGAGCCAACUCAAGCAAAAAUAAACAAGUUCAGAAAUCCCUUCUUUAAAAAACAAACCUAAACAAAGGAAAACAAAACAAAAAAAAAAAACCAACACAAAAACCAACAAACUUCAAGAUAUUUGGAAAGAAGAGAUGAACAUGUUGAAGAUUCCCUGCACAGGACAACGUAGGUAGUAUCCAUUGCUGUACAGCCUGAUCACCCUCUGCACUGAUAAUAAAAAAUGAUACAUUAUUUUUGGU